GUUGACCUCGGAUCAGGUAGGAAUACCCGCUGAACUUAAGCAUAUCAAUAAGCGGAGGAAAAGAAACCAACAGGGAUUCCCCUAGUAACGGCGAGUGAAGCGGGAACAGCUCAAAUUUGAAAUCUGGCCCUUGGGUCCGAGUUGUAAUUUGCAGAGGAUGCUUUUGGUGCGGUGCCUUCCGAGUUCCCUGGAACGGGACGCCUUAGAGGGUGAGAGCCCCGUACGGUUGGCCACCAAGCCUGUGUAAAGCUCCUUCGACGAGUCGAGUAGUUUGGGAAUGCUGCUCAAAAUGGGAGGUAUAUUUCUUCUAAAGCUAAAUACUGGCCAGAGACCGAUAGCGCACAAGUAGAGUGAUCGAAAGAUGAAAAGCACUUUGAAAAGAGGGUUAAAUAGCACGUGAAAUUGUUGAAAGGGAAGGAUUUAUGACCAGACUUUUUCUAGGGGGAUCAUCCGGUGUUCUCACCGGUGCACUUCCCCUAGUUGAGGCCAGCAUCGGUUUCUGUCGGGGGAUAAAAGCUUCAGGAAUGUGGCUCCUUCGGGAGUGUUAUAGCCUGUUGCAUAAUACCCUGACGGGGACCGAGGUUCGCGCAUUGCAAGGAUGCUGGCGUAAUGGUUAUUAAUCACCCGUCUUGAAACACGGACCAAGGAGUCGAACAUUUGUGCGAGUGUUUGGGUGUUAAACCCUCACGCGUAAUGAAAGUGAACGGAGGUGAGAGCCCUUCGGGGUGCAUCAUCGACCGAUCCUGAUGUCUUCGGAUGGAUUUGAGUAAGAGCAUAACUGUUCGGACCCGAAAGAUGGUGAACUAUGCGUGGAUAGGGUGAAGCCAGAGGAAACUCUGGUGGAGGCUCGCAGCGGUUCUGACGUGCAAAUCGAUCGUCAAAUCUGCGCAUGGGGGCGAAAGACUAAUCGAACCAUCUAGUAGCUGGUUACCGCCGA
This is a ribosomal RNA of 937 nucleotides. It matches the Rfam family "Eukaryotic large subunit ribosomal RNA", at positions 1 to 964 of the family's 3401-position model.